Molecule: RNA transcript, 1470 nt
Organism: Microtus ochrogaster (prairie vole)
Lineage: Eukaryota; Metazoa; Chordata; Mammalia; Rodentia; Cricetidae
Exons: 8
Source: RefSeq, a predicted model, not a curated record
GGAGGCGGAGGAGGAGGAGGUGCUGAGCCCGGAACCGCUGCCGCUCAGCGGGCCCGGAGGGAAGGAAGGCGCACGACACAGGGUCCUUCCGAGCUUCCCCAUGGUCCAUGUGAGCUGCAGCUCCGAAGAACGCCAUCUACCUUCUGCCUGCCCCUUCAUGGAGUGUCAGGUGGUGAGGCCGCCGCGCUGGUGCGCGCAUUACACGGCUGGUCGGUGGUGCGGACCCUGGUGGUGCACAUGGGGGUUCCCAGACAGCAAGUUUGUCUUUGGCAAGGGAAACUACCCAGCUGACGGAGAAGACCAAGGAAUCUGUGGACAUCAUGUGUGUGUUUCUGAACGUGGAGAGGAUGACAGCUCUGACCAAGGUCUACCCUGAGCAGCGGGUCUGCCCGACUAGACCAGCUAGACCAGCAAGGAAGGGGCUUACGGUACAUCAUGGGGUCAGGAGAGUCAUCCACAGAGCGAAGCCAAUGGGCACUGAAGGAGAAGGAGGCAAAGGUCAGGGCGUACUAAGAUGGAGUGUGCUUGCAGCACAAGUUCCCCAUUGUGUCUGUUGUCGGCUACACUAACUGUGGCGAGGGUCCUCAAGCAGCAGCACUACAUCUCAGCACUGGGUAUGCGUAGGGAAAACCACACUCAUCAAGGCCCUGACCAGGGAGGCCACCAUGCAACUGUGUGACCAUCUGUUCACAACCCUAGAUGUCACGGUACACACGGGGUUGCUGCCCUCGUGCAUGCCCGUCAUCUACAUGGCUUUCUGUCACAGCUGCCACACAGCCUGAUCCAGUCGUUCACCACGCUGGAGGAUGUGGUCCAUUUGCUACAGCCUCCCAGGACCCUGCAUCCUGACUGUGUCUGCACUCCUGGGCCAUGGGCUAGACAAGCUGAAGGCGACGCUGGAGGAAUCUGUUCUGCAGGCUACUGGCUGGCGGUGCUCACCCUCUGUUUACAGCUUGGGAGACCCCAGCUCUGCCUGCACCACCCUCUGCUCAUCACCAUGCACCACGCUGACAUCAGCACGCUUCCCAGAAUGCACCACGGUGGUUUCUCUGCAACUGGCAGUACAAGGAGGCCAAGGUGUAGCAGGUGCAGGAGCUGCCCAAGACUGACACCGCCCACAUGACCGUUAUCAUUAGCCAAGACACCUAUGGCCGAUUCCGGAAGCUGUUUCCUGAGUGACAGCCUGGAGCGGGAUGUGGAUACAGCUUGUAGCCAUGGUGUUGUCCCACCACUUUCUCCCUCCCAGCUGUUCCCUGAGUGACAACCAGGGCCAGAUGUGGAUUCAGCUCGUGGAAAGGUGUUUGUGGAUGGCCCCAUGUAGUCCUGCCCCUUCCUCCCAGCUGAUUCCUAAGUGACAACUGCAUAGAUGGACUGAGGACCUGAUAUGGGAAGUCAUGGCCACAUCAUAGUCCUGUCCCUUCCUCCCUCCCAGACUGACUGGCAGCUCAUUAAAGCGGAAUUUGCACUUUG